UAGAAAUGAAAACUUUUAUAAACCAUCAUGGCUUUUUAAUUCGGUCCAGGACAACAAAAUAUUGUGUUGAGCAACUUUUACCUGCCAUGGUUUUAUUUCUGGUUGUCUCUUUGUUUAAGUUCUGACUUUGUUUUAUGUUUUGGGGGAUUGAAUGUUUUGUCUUUAAUUCAGUUUUCCUUGUAAAGUGUUUGGUUUUGUUUCUUCUUUCCAUAAAUCAUUUUUUAUCUUUAACCGGCAAUCAGGAAUCCAGAUUUGACUAAACCUUCAUCUCAUCCAAUCGGACUUGUCAUUGGUCUUCUUGUCGCUGCUGUUCUCAUUGUUCUCAUUGCUGGUUUAGUUUAUUUACGGACACGUUUGGAACGAUACAGACAUGAAGAUGAUCCAGAUGAACAUAUUGACCUGGAAGAAGACAAGAUCGUGAUUUAGAAGUGGGACAAGACAGACAGGAGGACAACAAAGUGAAACCAGAUGACAUCGAAUAAACAUCUGGAUUUUUUUUUUCUGUUACUCAUCCACUUAAUGCAAAAGAAGUUUUUUUUCUCUCUUUUAGGGGGUAGA
This is a long non-coding RNA of Melanotaenia boesemani (Boeseman's rainbowfish), 558 nucleotides long. RefSeq lists it as uncharacterized. The transcript is spliced from 4 exons. The record is from RefSeq and is a predicted model, not a curated record. Lineage: Eukaryota; Metazoa; Chordata; Actinopteri; Atheriniformes; Melanotaeniidae.